RNAcentral lists this ribosomal RNA (1562 nucleotides) under Tangaroa tahitiensis. RNAcentral's name for it is "SSU rRNA". It matches the Rfam family "Eukaryotic small subunit ribosomal RNA", at positions 153 to 1730 of the family's 1831-position model. The record is from RNAcentral. Lineage: Eukaryota; Metazoa; Arthropoda; Arachnida; Araneae; Uloboridae.
CAAUUCUAGAGCUAAUACAUGCAGCAGAGCUCCGACCCUCGGGGACGAGCGCUUUUAUUAGACCAAGACCAAUCGGACCUCGCGUCCGUCAAACGUGGUGACUCUGUAUAACUUUGGGCUGAUCGCACGGGCCCGUCCCGGCGACGCGUCCUUCAAGUGUCUGCCUUAUCAACUGUCGAUGGUAAGGCCCCCGCCUACCAUGGUCGUGACGGGUGACGGGGAAUCAGGGUUCGAUUCCGGAGAGGGAGCCUGAGAAACGGCUACCACAUCCAAGGAAGGCAGCAGGCGCGCAAAUUACCCACUCCCGGCACGGGGAGGUAGUGACGGAAAAUAACAAUACGGGACUCUUUUGAGACCCCGUAAUUGGAAUGAGCACACUCCAAACCGUUUAACGAGGAUCCAUUGGAGUACCAGUCUGGUGCCAGCACACGCGGUAACUCCAGCUCCAAUAGCGUAUAUUAAAGUUGUUGCGGUUAAAAAGCUCGUAGUUGGAUCUCAGUUCCGGCCGGGGGGUCCGCCUUAAACCGGCGGCCACUCCCCCGCAGCCGAACAGCCGGCCGGUUUCCCCCGAUGAUCUUCACCGGUUGUCCCGGGUGACCGGCAAGUUUACUUUGAAAAAAUUAGAGUGCUCAGGGCAGGCGCGACGCCUGGAUAAAGGUGCAUGGAAUAAUGGAAUAGGACCUCGGUUCUGUUCUGUUGGUCUUCGGGACACGAGGUAAUGAUUAAGAGGGACAGAUGGGGGCAUUCGUAUUGCGGCGCUAGAGGUGAAAUUCUUGGACCGCCGCAAGACGAACUACUGCGAAAGCAUUUGCCAAGAAUGUUUCCAUUAAUCAAGAACGAAAGUUAGAGGUGCGAAGGCGAUCAGAUACCGCCCUAGUUCUAACCAUAAACGAUGCCAGCCGGCGAUCCGGCGUCGUUCCUCAAAUGACACGCCGGGCAGCUUCCGGGAAACCAAAGCCUUUGGGUUCCGGGGGAAGUAUGGUUGCAAAGCUAAAACUUAAAGGAAUUGACGGAAGGUCACACAAGGAAUGGAGCUUGCGGCUUAAUUUGACUCAACGCGGGGUAGCCUACCCAGCCAGGGCACAGGAAGGAUUGACAGAUUAAGAGCUCUUUCUUGAUUCUGUGGGUAGUGGUGCAUGUCCGUUCUUCGUUGGUGGAGCGAUUUGUCUGGUUAAUUCCGAUAACGAACGAGAUUCUAGCCUGCUAAAUAGGCGUUCCCGGUCCUUCGGGGGCCGGGCGCUCUUCUUAGAGGGAUCGGCGGCGCUCAGCCGCACGAAACAGAGCAAUAACAGGUCUUGAAUGCCCUUAGAUGCCUGGGGCUGCACGCGUGCUACAUUGAAGGAACCAGCGUGUGCUCUCCCUGUCCGGCAGGACUGGGUAACCCGCUGAACCUCCUUCGUGCUGGGGAUAGGAGUUUGUAACUGUCCUCCUUGAACGAGGAAUUCCUAGUAAGCGCGAGUCAUAACCUCGCGUUGAUUAGGUCCCUGGCCUUUGUACACACCGCCCGUCGCUACCCCCGAUGGAAUGAUUUAGUGAGGUCUUCGGACUGGCGCUCGGAGGGG